UUAAGCGACUAAGCGUACACGGUGGAUGCCCUGGCAGUCAGAGGCGAUGAAGGACGUGCUAAUCUGCGAAAAGCGACGGCGAGGUGAUAUGAACCCCUGACCCGUCGAUGUCCGAAUGGGGAAACCCAGUGUGAUUCGUCACACUAUCGUUAACUGAAUACAUAGGUUAACGAGGCGAACCGGGGGAACUGAAACAUCUAAGUACCCCGAGGAAAAGAAAUCAACCGAGAUUCCCCCAGUAGCGGCGAGCGAACGGGGAGCAGCCCGGAGUCUGAAUCAGCUUGUGUGUUAGUGGAAGCGUCUGGAAAGUCGCACGGUACAGGGUGACAGUCCCGUACACGAAAAUGCACAGGUUGUGAACUCGAAGAGUAGGGCGGGACACGUGGUAUCCUGUCUGAAUAUGGGGGGACCAUCCUCCAAGGCUAAAUACUCCUGACUGACCGAUAGUGAACCAGUACCGUGAGGGAAAGGCGAAAAGAACCCCGGCGAGGGGAGUGAAAAAGAACCUGAAACCGUGUACGUACAAGCAGUGGGAGCACCUUCGGGUGUGACUGCGUACCUUUUGUAUAAUGGGUCAGCGACUUAUAUUCUGUAGCAAGGUUAACCGUAUAGGGGAGCCGAAGGGAAACCGAGUCUUAACUGGGCGUUAAGUUGCAGGGUAUAGACCCGAAACCCGGUGAUCUAGCCAUGGGCAGGUUGAAGGUUGGGUAACACUAACUGGAGGACCGAACCGACUAAUGUUGAAAAAUUAGCGGAUGACCUGUGGCUGGGGGUGAAAGGCCAAUCAAACCGGGAGAUAGCUGGUUCUCCCCGAAAGCUAUUUAGGUAGCGCCUCGUGAACUCAUCUUCGGGGGUAGAGCACUGUUUCGGCUAGGGGGCCAUCCCGGCUUACCAACCCGAUGCAAACUACGAAUACCGAAGAAUGUUAUCACGGGAGACACACGGCGGGUGCUAACGUCCGUCGUGAAGAGGGAAACAACCCAGACCGCCAGCUAAGGUCCCAAAGUCAUGGUUAAGUGGGAAACGAUGUGGGAAGGCACAGACAGCCAGGAUGUUGGCUUAGAAGCAGCCAUCAUUUAAAGAAAGCGUAAUAGCUCACUGGUCGAGUCGGCCUGCGCGGAAGAUGUAACGGGGCUAAACCAUGCACCGAAGCUGCGGCAGCGACACUAUGUGUUGUUGGGUAGGGGAGCGUUCUGUAAGCCGUUGAAGGUGUGCUGUGAGGCAUGCUGGAGGUAUCAGAAGUGCGAAUGCUGACAUAAGUAACGAUAAAGCGGGUGAAAAGCCCGCUCGCCGGAAGACCAAGGGUUCCUGUCCAACGUUAAUCGGGGCAGGGUGAGUCGACCCCUAAGGCGAGGCCGAAAGGCGUAGUCGAUGGGAAACAGGUUAAUAUUCCUGUACUUGGUGUUACUGCGAAGGGGGGACGGAGAAGGCUAUGUCAGCCGGGCGACGGUUGUCCCGGUUUAAGCGUGUAGGUGUGUGUUCCAGGCAAAUCCGGUUCACUUUAACACUGAGGCGUGAUGACGAGGCACUACGGUGCUGAAGUGAUAAAUGCCCUGCUUCCAGGAAAAGCCUCUAAGCAUCAGGUAACACGAAAUCGUACCCCAAACCGACACAGGUGGUCAGGUAGAGAAUACCAAGGCGCUUGAGAGAACUCGGGUGAAGGAACUAGGCAAAAUGGUGCCGUAACUUCGGGAGAAGGCACGCUGAUAUGUAGGUGAAGUCCCUGCGGACGGAGCUGAAAUCAGUCGAAGAUACCAGCUGGCUGCAACUGUUUAUUAAAAACACAGCACUGUGCAAACACGAAAGUGGACGUAUACGGUGUGACGCCUGCCCGGUGCCGGAAGGUUAAUUGAUGGGGUUAGCGGCAACGCGAAGCUCUUGAUCGAAGCCCCGGUAAACGGCGGCCGUAACUAUAACGGUCCUAAGGUAGCGAAAUUCCUUGUCGGGUAAGUUCCGACCUGCACGAAUGGCGUAAUGAUGGCCAGGCUGUCUCCACCCGAGACUCAGUGAAAUUGAACUCGCUGUGAAGAUGCAGUGUACCCGCGGCAAGACGGAAAGACCCCGUGAACCUUUACUAUAGCUUGACACUGAACACUGGUCCUUGAUGUGUAGGAUAGGUGGGAGGCUUUGAAGCGUGGACGCCAGUCUGCGUGGAGCCGUCCUUGAAAUACCACCCUUUAAUGGCUGGUGUUCUAACGUGGACCCGUAAUCCGGGUUGCGGACAGUGUCUGGUGGGUAGUUUGACUGGGGCGGUCUCCUCCCAAAGAGUAACGGAGGAGCACGAAGGUUAGCUAAUCCUGGUCGGACAUCAGGAGGUUAGUGCAAUGGCAUAAGCUAGCUUGACUGCGAGAGUGACGGCUCGAGCAGGUGCGAAAGCAGGUCAUAGUGAUCCGGUGGUUCUGAAUGGAAGGGCCAUCGCUCAACGGAUAAAAGGUACUCCGGGGAUAACAGGCUGAUACCGCCCAAGAGUUCAUAUCGACGGCGGUGUUUGGCACCUCGAUGUCGGCUCAUCACAUCCUGGGGCUGAAGUAGGUCCCAAGGGUAUGGCUGUUCGCCAUUUAAAGUGGUACGCGAGCUGGGUUUAGAACGUCGUGAGACAGUUCGGUCCCUAUCUGCCGUGGGCGCUGGAGAAUUGAGGGGGGCUGCUCCUAGUACGAGAGGACCGGAGUGGACGCAUCACUGGUGUUCGGGUUGUCAUGCCAAUGGCACUGCCCGGUAGCUAAAUGCGGAAGAGAUAAGUGCUGAAAGCAUCUAAGCACGAAACUUGCCCCGAGAUGAGUUCUCCCUGAGACUUUAAGUCUCCUGAAGGAACGUUGAAGACGACGACGUUGAUAGGCCGGGUGUGUAAGCGCAGCGAUGCGUUGAGCUAACCGGUACUAAUGAACCGUGAGGCUUAACCUU
Molecule: ribosomal RNA, 2901 nt
Filed under: Enterobacter sp. BIDMC 29
Lineage: Bacteria; Pseudomonadati; Pseudomonadota; Gammaproteobacteria; Enterobacterales; Enterobacteriaceae
Description: bacterial LSU rRNA
Rfam family: Bacterial large subunit ribosomal RNA
Source: RNAcentral